This 831-nucleotide long non-coding RNA is filed under the name Cottoperca gobio. RNAcentral's name for it is "lncRNA (ENSCGOG00000007064.1)". Lineage: Eukaryota; Metazoa; Chordata; Actinopteri; Perciformes; Bovichtidae. The record is from RNAcentral.
UCGCCUCAGGAGGCUCCAUCCAGUCCGGUCUCAUUGUCCUCACACACAACUCGACUCCGAGUGUGAGCGUGCGCGUGUGUGUGCAUGAAUCUGUGUGAGGUUGGCGGGUGCAGCCGGUCAUUUCUACACCACAGCUUCAGCAGCGGAGCGCCGGGUUCCACUCUGAGGGUGCGUCAGACAGGCCAUGCCCUUCACCUGGGCCUGCUUCUGCGGCCUGAACGGGUCCUGCUGCAGACGACAGAAGAAGAAAAAAGAGCAAGUGGAGGAAAAGGAGGGUGAGGAGGUAGAACAGGUAGAACGAUGCAGGGAUCAGGAGACUGAGGUGUGAAUGUGGCGCAGGCAGCUGUGCUCUCCUCACCUUCACCAGGGUUUUAUCCUUUAACAGACCGGAAUGUGCAGCCCGGGUUACUGCUGCUUAGCACAGACUGUCUGACUGUCUCACUAUAACAGAGAUGCUAAAGGGGCUUCAUCAGGCUUUUAUUGAAAAUUAAGAAUUUAUAUUUGAACCGAUACUGCAUCUUUUCCAAUAGUACAUGUGACUAAGGCUUCAGGUUCCAUAAACUCAACUACUGUAAUACUGUAUCAGAAUGAUGAUAAUGAUCCCUAUUACCCAUCCCUGCUCACUCUCUUCUCUUGGCAGCUGACUGGGAACUUUGCUUCUGCUGAUGUUAUUCCAAAAACACAUUUCUUAUCAGUUUGAUUCAUUUAUUGCCAUAGCUGUACUGUAUAAGGCGUGCAGAGACUCUAGUCAACCAUUAUUUCUCUCAGUCACACUUCUCAACGAGGCCCCAUCUCUCCCCUCGCCUCCUUAAUCGCAGCUCCACGGACGCU